Long non-coding RNA from Syngnathus acus (greater pipefish), 187 nucleotides. RefSeq lists it as uncharacterized. The transcript has 2 exons. Lineage: Eukaryota; Metazoa; Chordata; Actinopteri; Syngnathiformes; Syngnathidae. The record is from RefSeq and is a predicted model, not a curated record.
UAUAAAAGUACAUACUGCAAGCAACUUCAAAACAUGCAAGUGUGUCUUUUGUGUGUGUGUGUGUGUGUGUGUGUGCGUGCGUAAUUCGUGCCGUUUGAAGUGAGCCGGGUCCCCACUGUCAGAGCUGGCAAGAGAAGCAGUAUCGCAGGAAUGAGCAUCAAUAUUUUCAGUAUUCAGCACACACGUA